AGUGAACGCUGGCGGUAGGCCUAACACAUGCAAGUCGAACGGCAGCACAGUAAGAGCUUGCUCUUACGGGUGGCGAGUGGCGGACGGGUGAGGAAUACAUCGGAAUCUACUUUUUCGUGGGGGAUAACGUAGGGAAACUUACGCUAAUACCGCAUACGACCUACGGGUGAAAGCAGGGGAUCUUCGGACCUUGCGCGACUGAAUGAGCCGAUGUCGGAUUAGCUAGUUGGCGGGGUAAAGGCCCACCAAGGCGACGAUCCGUAGCUGGUCUGAGAGGAUGAUCGGCCACACUGGAACUGAGACACGGUCCAGACUCCUACGGGAGGCAGCAGUGGGGAAUAUUGGACAAUGGGCGCAAGCCUGAUCCAGCCAUACCGCGUGGGUGAAGAAGGCCUUCGGGUUGUAAAGCCCUUUUGUUGGGAAAGAAAAGCAGCGGGUUAAUACCCCGCUGUUCUGACGGUACCCAAAGAAUAAGCACCGGCUAACUUCGUG
This 492-nucleotide ribosomal RNA is filed under the name uncultured bacterium. Its description in RNAcentral is "partial 16S ribosomal RNA". It matches the Rfam family "Bacterial small subunit ribosomal RNA", at positions 29 to 507 of the family's 1533-position model. The record is from RNAcentral.